Molecule: long non-coding RNA, 1782 nt
Organism: Rosa rugosa (rugosa rose)
Lineage: Eukaryota; Viridiplantae; Streptophyta; Magnoliopsida; Rosales; Rosaceae
Exons: 3
Source: RefSeq, a predicted model, not a curated record
UGGACACCCACGAAUCUUAUAUCUGCACCCAGCUCAUGUCUUCAAGAAUAUGAACCCCAAAACAAGACGUCAUCUCCAUUCAAUAAGCAUCAAAUCUCUUUGGCGUGGACAUCAGCUUAGACAGAGGUUGAAUUGGAGAUGGAGAUUACUUCGGUCAGCUUGAUUCGGAGAUGGCCCUGUAUAGAUAAAAGGGGUUCUCCUCUUGAAUCUGCACUCCACUCAAUUGGGGAUGUGUACUGGGUAAUGACUUCUUGCUCUUGAGCUUCUUUGAUUCGAAGAGACAAAAAAGUCUUGCAACUGAUCUUGAUUUGUUUUCAAUUGCUAGCACUCUUCUUUAAAAUUUCUGGGCAUUUCUGGGGCUUACGUAUUUCGUGCUUCUCGAACACCUGGAAUAACAAACUGAUUGUGGCUUCUCAAAAGGUGAGUUAGAGAUCAGCUCAAUCCUGCAUUUCCACCGCUUCAUGAGGAAAAAUGCACAGCUUGGUUGCUUUUUAUAGUUCUUUAUGUGCCCAUAAUGCCUCUUGCUUUUUGUCUUUUGCUCCCAUUUGUGAACAAAGAUGCAGCCCACCAUAGUUGGAUAAUUGUGCUUUUAAUUAUAUAUGAGUUUUUGCCUUCAUGUUUAUUGUAUAUUGAUCAGCUUUCCACCGCCAAAAAUUUCUUCACAGAGGACAUUAUUAUCAUUACUUUGGCCUUGUCUCUUUAUGCAUCAAAGCUCAAAGUUCUAUUGCUUUUUUUUUUUCAACACCACCACUUUGUCUUCUUCUUUUAUUUGUUGCUUCAAAAGCUUGUCUACCAUGAUUAAUUAUUAUAUGGCUUAAUGUGCAGGUAACAACUCAAGCCACACGUUAAUCAUCAAGACCAAGUUCUUUUUGCCAUGCUUCAGAAUCCACUGUCUGAUGGAGCCUUUUGUGAACGCUGCAGGUACAAGUGCAGGCAGGGACUUCGACAGCAAGUGCAGGCAGGAACUUUGAUAGCAAAAGCCAUUUCCUUGCUGGGAUUUGGUGGAGGAAGUGAGUCCAGAUUUCUUGUGGAGAAGUGAACAAGCUUCUGUAUCCUCAGCUUAGUCUCAAGUUUCUGAUUUCCUUUCCUCCUUGCUUGCAGGCUGCUAGUCUGUUCUUUGUGUGGCUUGUUUUGCAAGUGGUGCAAGGCCAUUUGUUUUGUUGCGGUGGAAAGGAAGGCAGGAGGUAGGAGGCUUCUUGGCGGUGACCUUGCUGAAUCUUGGAACCAGUGAGAGUCUUUGUGGAAGAAAAGAGGCAUUGGAGCCUUGUUUUCACAUGGUUCGGAGGUUUGCUGACACUCUGAACACAACCUUGAUGGAGGUGUAUUGGAUUCGCUGCUGCAAUGUAUUCCACCGGAUUGGUCAUACUCUCAUUGAUACAUAAAGCGUACCGUGCACGAGAUUACGACCGCUCCGGGGACCUCCACAGCUCCACAGCUCCAUGGUGACACGAAUAAAAGAGAUUCCUGCAUGAAAAACAAAGGAAGUAGCACUGGUAGAUCAGAGAGAUCUCAACCUUUGUAUCUGCUUGUUGGCUCCUCGGUGCUUGUUGGCUCCUCGAAGCACGAUCAAAAUCUCUGAACACUUCUCUUUGUUCUGCAGCAGGGCUUCGCCUCUUUCUUGAUGUACUUCCUGUGUCUCUCUCUAGCCUUUUCUGCUUCUCCUCCGCCUCCCAUCUUUUUCUUCACCGUUGCCACCUUUAUAUAAGGGUGGUUGGAUAAGUGUAGCCGGACAGCUGAUAACCACUUUGUAUUUGAAUUUGAAUAACAAGCUUAACUUUAUCA